This 253-nucleotide ribosomal RNA is filed under the name uncultured Leptolinea sp. RNAcentral describes it as "partial 16S ribosomal RNA". It matches the Rfam family "Bacterial small subunit ribosomal RNA", at positions 524 to 776 of the family's 1533-position model. Lineage: Bacteria; Bacillati; Chloroflexota; Anaerolineae; Anaerolineales; Anaerolineaceae. The record is from RNAcentral.
AACGUAGGAGGCGAGCGUUAUCCGGAUUUACUGGGCGUAAAGCGUGUGCAGGCGGUUCGGUAAGUUGGAUGUGAAAGCUCCCGGCUCAACUGGGAGAGGUCGUUCAAUACUGUCGGACUUGAGGAUGGUAGAGGGAGGUGGAAUUCCGGGUGUAGUGGUGAAAUGCGUAGAUAUCCGGAGGAACACCAGUGGCGAAAGCGGCCUCCUGGACCAUUUCUGACGCUCAUACACGAAAGCUAGGGGAGCAAACGGG